UAAGGAAUAUUGGUCAAUGGACGCAAGUCUGAACCAGCCAUGCCGCGUGAAGGAUGAAGGUCCUCUGGAUUGUAAACUUCUUUUAUCUGGGACGAAAACGGGAUUUUUAUCUCAAUUGACGGUACCAGAGGAAUAAGCACCGGCUAACUCCGUGCCAGCAGCCGCGGUAAUACGGAGGGUGCGAGCGUUAUCCGGAUUUACUGGGUUUAAAGGGUGCGUAGGUGGGCUUAUAAGUCAGUGGUGAAAUCUCCGAGCUUAACUUGGAAACUGCCGUUGAUACUAUAGCUCUUGAAUUAUCUGGAGGUAAGCGGAAUAUGUCAUGUAGCGGGGAAAUGCUUAGAUAUGACAUAGAACACCAAUUGCGAAGGCAGCUUACUACAUAUAAAUUGACGCUGAGGCACGAAAGCGUGGGGAUCAAACA
Molecule: ribosomal RNA, 421 nt
Filed under: uncultured bacterium
Lineage: Bacteria
Description: bacterial SSU rRNA
Rfam family: Bacterial small subunit ribosomal RNA
Source: RNAcentral